ACAACUUUCAACAACGGAUCUCUUGGCUCUUGCAUCGAUGAAGAACGUAGCGAAUUACGAUAUGUAAUGUGAAUUGCGGAAUUCAGUGAAUCAUCGAAUCUUUGAACGCACCUUGCGCUCUUUGGUACUCCGAAGAGCAUGCCUGUUUGAGUGUCAU
RNAcentral lists this ribosomal RNA (157 nucleotides) under Waitea circinata. RNAcentral describes it as "5.8S ribosomal RNA". It matches the Rfam family "5.8S ribosomal RNA". From Rfam's summary of the family: 5.8S ribosomal RNA (5.8S rRNA) is a component of the large subunit of the eukaryotic ribosome. Lineage: Eukaryota; Fungi; Basidiomycota; Agaricomycetes; Corticiales; Corticiaceae. The record is from RNAcentral.